This is a long non-coding RNA of Tachysurus fulvidraco (yellow catfish), 369 nucleotides long. RefSeq lists it as uncharacterized. NCBI's taxonomy places the organism in Eukaryota, Metazoa, Chordata, Actinopteri, Siluriformes, Bagridae. The record is from RefSeq and is a predicted model, not a curated record. The transcript is spliced from 3 exons.
CACUGAGCUAACACUUCUCUAACUGCAUUCUGUAAAGCUGUGAGCUGUAAUCAUUACUACUCUGUUCAUUCCAGGACUUCAGUUCAUUUUCAUUCCUUGACCUGUUGUAUGUUAGAGAAUCUCCGAGAAGAAGAAAGACUUCAUUAAAGCUAUUAAUUCUACCCCAAUGACGUCAGCAUGUCCGGAUUUGUCGGUGUUAUGGAUUGGUGAUGGAUUUUCUCCACAUCCACCGUAAAGCAUUGCCACCGUAAUCCCGACAGAUGGCGCUGUUUCAUCACAUCUCCAACACACAAACACACCUGCUCAUGAUGUGAUCAGCCAAUCAGCGUCUCAGUGCUGUAACGGAGGCUGCAGACAGAACAAAGCACC